UGAGGAAUAUUGGUCAAUGGGCGCAAGCCUGAACCAGCCACGUCGCGUGAAGGAAGACAGCCCUACGGGUUGUAAACUUCUUUUGUAAGGGAAUAAAGUGUAGUACGUGUACUAUUUUGCAUGUACCUUACGAAUAAGGAUCGGCUAACUCCGUGCCAGCAGCCGCGGUAAUACGGAGGAUCCGAGCGUUAUCCGGAUUUAUUGGGUUUAAAGGGUGCGCAGGCGGGAGAUUAAGUCGGCGGUGAAAUUUUGCAGCUUAACUGUAAAAGUGCCUUCGAAACUGGUUUCCUUGAGUGUAGAUGAAGUAGGCGGAAUUUGUGGUGUAGUGGUGAAAUGCAUAGAUAUCACGAGGAACUCCGAUUGCGCAGGCAGCUUACUAAACUACUACUGACGCUCAGGCACGAAGGCGUGGGGAUCAAACAG
Molecule: ribosomal RNA, 423 nt
Filed under: uncultured bacterium
Lineage: Bacteria
Description: bacterial SSU rRNA
Rfam family: Bacterial small subunit ribosomal RNA
Source: RNAcentral